CCUUGAUGUGCAGGCGCUUUUGUCCUAGGGAAGAGCCUGGACUGUCAGACUUGCACUCGAGCCCGCAUGGGAUCAGAAAGGACGAGGCAUGAGCUGGGGAGACUGGGAGCCCACAAGCAGGCACAGAUGGAGGACCCCUUCCCAAGAGGAAUAAGAGAGGCUCUGGGCAUUGGGCCUCUGCUCCAGCUCAGCCCAGUACAGCUGAGCCCUGCCAUGAAAGACCCGCGGAAGCUAGACUUGUCCAGAUGUCAAAAGAUCUGAUGAUGCCAAGACACCUGGAGAUAGGAAAGAAGGUGGCAUUGACAGACCUCCAGGAUGCACACCUGAAACACACUUUGUUUUCACUUCAGGCUCAUGUUUCACCUUUUUAAAAAGCAUUCGGAAUUUCCCUGACUUCUUGGAAAUCCCAAAAAAAAGCCUGACUCUGGGAGAAGAGCCCAAAAGGGAGAGGAAGGGAGGAGGUGGCCAGAUCCCAGGUAAGGAGCGGGGAGGGAGGGGGCUGCUGGCACAGGAAUGACUGUCAGAGACACAUCCUGGAGGCCACAAUUCAACCCUCUCAACUUUUCCCAGAAAUUCCAAAAACUCCUUUAAAGCAGCAAGUGCAGGGUGUGAAAAGCAGGAGCCAUGCUAGAGGAGAGCCUGGGAAUGGGGAAAUGAUUACAGGCUGUGACCUCACUGGCGCAGCCCCUCUCAGCGGCAGUGGAAAGCACAGCCUAGACUUCUCACCACUGCACACCAGAAUCCUGCCCCGGGCCUUGCCUGGUCUGCCUGACUCUGCCAUGGGCUGCAGGCUCCUCUGCUGUGUGGCCCUCUGCCUCCUCCAAGCAGGUUCCUUGGACACAGCUGUUUCCCAGACUCCAAAAUAUCUGGUCACGCAGACGGGAAAAAACGAGUCCCUUAAAUGUGAACAAAAUCUGGGCCAUAAUGCUAUGUAUUGGUAUAAGCAGGACUCUAAGAAAUUGCUGAAGAUAAUGUUUAUCUACAAUAAUAAGGAGCCCAUUUUAAAUGAAACAGUUCCAAAUCGCUUCUCACCUAAAUCUUCAGACAAAGCUCAUUUAAAUCUUCACAUCAAGUCCGUGGAGCUUGGUGACUCUGCUGUGUAUUUCUGUGCCAGCAGCCAAGACACAGCCCUGCAGAGUCACCGCAUUCCCGUGCACAAACCUCCCAGCUCAGCCAGGAAGCUGUGGGCCAGGGUGUGCACCUGCACCCAAGGCUCCAGUCUCCACUGUCUGAUGGCCUCUGAUGGAGUUUCAGUCUGUAGUACAGACGGCUAGUGCACCUGAUGUGGCAAUUCUCCAUUUGAUGUACACAGAACUCUCCGAAUUCUGUUUAUCAGCUAAAGCAGGGGUUCACAACAAAGUCAGCAAAGUAUCAGGGCUCAGCUAACAAAACAGGAGCCUGUCCCAUGCACUGAAGAUCUUAACUGAUGGGAGAAGCCAUUUCUUAUCUUUGUCAGCUGCACAUAUGGGUACAUAUUUUAGCUAAGGUUAUGAUUACAAACGCAGUGUUGGUAAAAAAUGGUUGAUGAGCAUAAGCAUAAAGGAAGGGGAAGGAAAGCAUUUCUAAGAUCAAGAGACAAUUUGGAUUAUCAGUGAGUACUUUAACAGAGAAAUAUUUGGAGAGGCAUGAAAUGCCAUGGCAAUAGGUAAACUGGAAAGUGUUGAGGAGAAGCCAGUGGAGGCAACCUUGUGCCUUGUAGACUCCUUUUCUUCAAGGAGAGUGACCAGCAAGAGUCUCUCCCAAUUCUGAUGAACGUCUUCUUGAACUCUUCUCAACAGCAAGUGAUAGCUUGAUGACAGAGGAUAUUGGGAGACAUGGAAAGGACUUUGGAAACAAAUCCCUAGGUAGUGGUGAGCCACUGGUCCUACUCCAAGUGAAACAACAUGAUGAAACUGAUAUUUUGGUACAGGAACACUGAAAGUAGUGUGGAUCAGAAAGGAGAUAGAUUUUGGGGUGGUCUGAAGGAUUAGGAGACUUCUAAAUAUCCUCCAUGAAAGAAAGGGUUUAUGUAAAGCAUUGCGGACGAUAGACACUUGAGGCUCUGGAUUAUGUUAUUUCUUGGAAAGAGUGUUGGGUUUUAUUCUGGGAGGGUUAAAUGUAGGACUAGCUAGGGUCUGUUUCAGCUUCGCCCUCCCUCUUAGGGAGCCCCAGCAUGUGGUCAUCAUUGCUAGCGCAUGGCCUUCCCAGGGUCUUAGUGGGAAUCACAGUGUAUUCACCACAUCACUCCACUGUAACUGGGUCUGAAUGCCCUGGCUCUUCUGAAAUCUCUACCCUUGUCUUCAGCCUUCCAGAACUUGUUCUCUGCUCAGCCUUCGGGUCUGCCACCCUCUGCAUACACAAUUUAGGAUCUGGCUCAGGAGAAGAAAGUGGGGGGCGGGUUUCUUACAUAUGAUUUUUGGGUUCCUUUUUAGUACACUGUGUCCUAAAUCCCAACUGUCUUGGAGUCAGUUGUGUCCUAGCUUCAAUCACAUAUAGUACUGCUAUUUGGUAUAGACAUGUUUACUUGA
Molecule: non-coding RNA, 2507 nt
Organism: Chlorocebus sabaeus (green monkey)
Lineage: Eukaryota; Metazoa; Chordata; Mammalia; Primates; Cercopithecidae
Source: the annotation of a RefSeq genome assembly